AGGGACGUAGCUCAGUGGGAGAGCGCCUGUCUGACGCACAGGAGGUCGGCGGUUCGAAACCGCCCGUCCCUACCA
Molecule: transfer RNA, 75 nt
Filed under: Pseudomonadota bacterium
Lineage: Bacteria; Pseudomonadati; Pseudomonadota
Also listed under: 6 other names
Description: tRNA-Val
Rfam family: tRNA
About the family: Transfer RNA (tRNA) molecules are approximately 80 nucleotides in length. Their secondary structure includes four short double-helical elements and three loops (D, anti-codon, and T loops).
Source: RNAcentral